CGGCAACAGCUCAAAUUUGAAAUCUGGCUCUUUUAGGGUCCGAGUUGUAAUUUGGAGAGGAUGUUUCGGGUACGGUCCGGGCUUAAAUUUCUUGGAACAGAAUGUCAAAGAGGGUGAGAAUCCCGUCUGGAGCUCGGGCACGGCCUAUGUGAAACUCCUUCGACGAGUCGAGUUGUUUGGGAAUGCAGCUCUAAAUGGGUGGUAAAUUUCAUCUAAAGCUAAAUAUUGGCCAGAAACCGAUAGCGCACAAGUAGAGUGAUCGAAAGAUGAAAAGCACUUUGAAAAGAGAGUUAAAAAGUACGUGAAAUUGUUGAAAGGGAAGCGCUGGCAACCAGACUUGCGCGUCGGGGUUCCCCCUUGCUUCUGCUUGGGUUACUCCCCGGCGUUCAGGCCAACAUCGGUUUCGGGGGUUGGUUAAAGGCCUUGGGAAUGUACUUACCCUCCGGGGUAAACUUAUAGCCCAGGGUGUCAUGCGACCUCCCGGGACCGAGGAACGCGCUUCGGCUCGGAUGUUGGCGUAAUGGUUGUCAGCGACCCGUCUUGAAACACGGACCAAGGAGUCUAACAUCUAUGCGAGUGUUAGGGUGUCAAACCCUCACGCGGAAUGAAAGUGAACGGAGGUAGGAAGCCAUUAGGCUGCACUAUCGACCGAUCCUGAAGUUUACGGAUGGAUUUGAGUAAGAGCAUAGCUGUUGGGACCCGAAAGAUGGUGAACUAUGCCUGAAUAGGGUGAAGCCAGAGGAAACUCUGGUGGAGGCUCGCA
RNAcentral lists this ribosomal RNA (763 nucleotides) under Cyphellophora pauciseptata. RNAcentral describes it as "eukaryotic LSU rRNA". It matches the Rfam family "Eukaryotic large subunit ribosomal RNA", at positions 99 to 879 of the family's 3401-position model. The record is from RNAcentral. Lineage: Eukaryota; Fungi; Ascomycota; Eurotiomycetes; Chaetothyriales; Cyphellophoraceae.